Molecule: long non-coding RNA, 481 nt
Filed under: Oryctolagus cuniculus (rabbit)
Lineage: Eukaryota; Metazoa; Chordata; Mammalia; Lagomorpha; Leporidae
Description: lncRNA (ENSOCUG00000034730.1)
Source: RNAcentral
AUGGUAUUAACCAGUAACUCUAUCCUACAGGAAAAUGGAAAUAUCAUUCACCAGAAAGAACUGAAGUUCUCAGACCCAGCGGAUGACAGAAGGACAACACCAGAGGGUGGCUGGAUUGCUGCUGCCUCUUCAGUCAAUGUGCCUAAACUUAGGAAAGAAAAAGGGAAAAGCCACACCCACGAUGCAAACCUUCACUUGGGGAGAGCUAAGCAACCCAGAAUGGAUCACAUGGCCAGUCCUUGCUGCAGGACAAACAGGGAAAACAGCGAUUUGGUUUCAUUAUUUUAAUUUCACUCUUUUCGUUCUAGUAAUGGGGCAGGUGAACAUGUAGAAGAGGAUUCAGAGUAGCUUUAAAGAUGCCCACACACAUCCAUAUUUAAAUUUGUAGGUAUUACAAGAGAAAUUUCAGAAGUACAGAAGACGAUCUUAGAGUAUAUAUUUAAGUCAUAGAUUAAUAAAUGUAAUUUGGGAAAUUUAUUCA